RNAcentral lists this ribosomal RNA (432 nucleotides) under uncultured bacterium. Its description in RNAcentral is "partial 16S ribosomal RNA". It matches the Rfam family "Bacterial small subunit ribosomal RNA", at positions 38 to 506 of the family's 1533-position model. The record is from RNAcentral.
GGGGGGGGGGGGGGGGGGGGCGGGGGGGGGGGGGGCGAGCGAGGGCGUCGGGUCGAGUGGCGCACGGGUGCGUAACGCGUGGGAACCUGCCCUUAGGUUCGGAAUAACUCCCCGAAAGGGGUGCUAAUACCGGAUAAUGUCUUCGGACCAAAGAUUUAUCGCCUUUGGAUGGGCCCGCGUUGGAUUAGCUAGUUGGUAGGGUAAAAGCCUACCAAGGCGACGAUCCAUAGCUGGUCUGAGAGGAUGAUCAGCCACACUGGGACUGAGACACGGCCCAGACUCCUACGGGAGGCAGCAGUGGGGAAUAUUGGACAAUGGGCGAAAGCCUGAUCCAGCAAUGCCGCGUGAGUGAUGAAGGCCUUAGGGUUGUAAAGCUCUUUUACCCGGGAUGAUAAUGACAGUACCGGGAGAAUAAGCUCCGGCUAACUCCGU